UCCUUCGGGAGUGAAGCUAGCGGCGGACGGGUGAGUAACACGUGGGCAACCUGCCUCAUAGAGGGGAAUAGCCUUUCGAAAGGAAGAUUAAUACCGCAUAAGAUUGUAGCUUCGCAUGAAGUAGCAAUUAAAGGAGCAAUCCGCUAUGAGAUGGGCCCGCGGCGCAUUAGCUAGUUGGUGAGGUAACGGCUCACCAAGGCGACGAUGCGUAGCCGACCUGAGAGGGUGAUCGGCCACAUUGGGACUGAGACACGGCCCAGACUCC
RNAcentral lists this ribosomal RNA (265 nucleotides) under uncultured Clostridium sp. RNAcentral describes it as "partial 16S ribosomal RNA". It matches the Rfam family "Bacterial small subunit ribosomal RNA", at positions 76 to 339 of the family's 1533-position model. Lineage: Bacteria; Bacillati; Bacillota; Clostridia; Eubacteriales; Clostridiaceae. The record is from RNAcentral.